This is a long non-coding RNA of Balaenoptera acutorostrata (minke whale), 415 nucleotides long. RefSeq lists it as uncharacterized. Lineage: Eukaryota; Metazoa; Chordata; Mammalia; Artiodactyla; Balaenopteridae. The record is from RefSeq and is a predicted model, not a curated record. The transcript is spliced from 3 exons.
UGUGGACCGAGGUGGAUGGGAGAGGAAGAAAGAGCUGGGAAAAACAGCAUGAAUCACGAACCGGCUGCUGGGCUCCUUUCAGGUAUAAGGAUCGUCUCCCCGAAGGAGACAGAGGACCCACGUCUCCGACGAUGCUAACGGUUCCAUCUGACAUCGGCAGUUCAAACAGACACAGACCGACCUAAACUUGACCCACCACAGCUCCCACCUGCAGGAGGCCACACGGAGGCCCUUCAUGGCAGAGGAACGUGACAAGACCAGAAGAGAAGCAGAAAGUGCCACACACUGCAGCCUCUCUCCUGACCACCCUUCUGACUCACCCUGACCAAACCUUCCCGCUGCGGGCCACACCCCACUCGGAUCACUUACCCGCCGAGCUUUGGGCGCAUCAAGAGGGCCUGUCCCUACCCACCCC